Molecule: long non-coding RNA, 259 nt
Filed under: Elaeis guineensis (African oil palm)
Lineage: Eukaryota; Viridiplantae; Streptophyta; Magnoliopsida; Arecales; Arecaceae
Description: long non-coding RNA (EGUI_LNC051304)
Source: RNAcentral
CUCGAAGAUCAGAUCCAAAGAAGAAGAAAAAGAGAAGCCAGUUCAUUUCGUGGAGUACGAAGAAAGAAGGAGAGAUCGUCAACCAUCUUCUCGACAAGACUGCACCAAUCGACUUCGGAGUUUUUGUUACAGUUUUAUUUUAUUUUAUUUUAUUAUUCUUUCAAAUUUUUUAUACUUAAAUUUUAUUUUUAAUUAAUAUAAAAUUUAUUUUUUUAUACUUUAAAUUUUUAUUUUUUAUUUUUAUUGCAAGUAGAUGCUA